Molecule: ribosomal RNA, 235 nt
Filed under: uncultured Staphylococcus sp.
Lineage: Bacteria; Bacillati; Bacillota; Bacilli; Caryophanales; Staphylococcaceae
Description: partial 16S ribosomal RNA
Rfam family: Bacterial small subunit ribosomal RNA
Source: RNAcentral
GGUGAGUAACACGUGGAUAACCUACCUGUAAGACUGGGAUAACUUCGGGAAACCGGAGCUAAUACCGGAUAAUAUUUUGAACCGCAUGGUUCAAAAGUGAAAGACGGUCUUGCUGUCACUUAUAGAUGGAUCCGCGCUGCAUUAGCUAGUUGGUAAGGUAACGGCUUACCAAGGCAACGAUGCAUAGCCGACCUGAGAGGGUGAUCGGCCACACUGGAACUGAGACACGGUCCAG